Molecule: long non-coding RNA, 1080 nt
Organism: Gallus gallus (chicken)
Lineage: Eukaryota; Metazoa; Chordata; Aves; Galliformes; Phasianidae
Source: Ensembl
CAGGAGCUGAACUGCUGAGCCUUGAUUUAACAGCUGCCUAGCCAUCUCUGCUGUAAGUGCCACCAGCUUGAAACAGGUGGAUCUUAUCUGGCACCAGAUCAUAGAUGUCUCUUCUUGCCUUGAAGAGUUUUCCAUGACUAUAAAACCCAGAAUACUGGUGGAGACAACAGCCCUGGAGCUAGGUAUUGAGUCACCUAUGACUACUUCCUGCUGCUUCUUCACGGCACCAGUCUUAAUUUUGCUGCUAAGAUGUUACCUGGCCCUGGUGGGAAAACCUGUAGACGCCUCUUCUUUCAUCUUUUCAAAUCCCUUGUCUGCCACACCCAGAGCAGAAUCAGAGAGAAACAUUUCAAAUGUGACUUCAGGAAUCCUGUGUAGCUUAGUUUAGACUUCCGGUGAACAAUUUCUUGUGGCUCUAUUUACAGCUACAGCUUCAGCUGAGCUGCUUUUUAUAAAAUGGUUUGCAGCCUCUUGGCACUUGUACUGAACUAAAAAACAGCACUUGCACAGUGGCAUACAUAUCUCUGUGUAGGAAGCUGAUGUCAGACAACUAUUGUUUAAAACUCCACUGCUCACAUAUUCUGUGGUAAUUUGACUAAUUUUACAAAGAGAACCCUAAUUGGUAGAGGGAUAUUAUUAGAUAAGCAGAUGGAAAUUGUCAUGAAUGAUUAAAAGUCUAUAGAGUAUGAAUUUCUCUCCAUUGCACUUGAAAAUCAGCAAGAUGCUAGCUACAUUAUUCAGUUUAUUAGUGAAUGGAGAAUGGAAGCUAUACAGUAGAAAUGGGAGGUUUACAUCAUACGUGGGCUCAACAUGCCUACGGGAAUUGCUUAUAAAGAUUUAGGUAUCCUGAAUGCUUUGUUUUUAAAUUGAUGUUCAGUAAAAAUCAAGAUGUCCAAAAGACUCCUGUUGUGAAAGAGCUUGCAAAAAAAAUAAAAACAAUUAUAAUAAUGUCAGUGUUGCAUUGAUGGCACUGAUACUGCAGUUGCCAAAAAGAGCAGCAACACAGAUAGAAUCACAGAAUAUCCCAAGUUGGAAGGGACCCAUAAGGCUCACUGGGUCCAACUUCUGCCUCCACACAGG